GAUGAACGCUGGCGGCGUGCCUAAUACAUGCAAGUCGAGCGAACGGACGAGAAGCUUGCUUCUCUGAUGUUAGCGGCGGACGGGUGAGUAACACGUGGAUAACCUACCUAUAAGACUGGGAUAACUUCGGGAAACCGUAGCUAAUACCGGAUAAUAUUUUGAACCGCAUGGUUCAAAAGUGAAAGACGGUCUUGCUGUCACUUAUAGAUGGAUCCGCGCUGCAUUAGCUAGUUGGUAAGGUAACGGCUUACCAAGGCAACGAUGCAUAGCCGACCUGAGAGGGGGAUGGGCCACACGGAAACGGAGACACGUUCCAGACUCCUACGGAAGGAAGCGGUGGGGAAUCUUCCGAAAUGGGCGAAAGCCUGCGGGAGCAACGCCCGUGAGUGAUGAAGGUCUUCGGAUCGUAAAACUCUGUUAUUAGGGAAGAACAUAUGUGUAAGUAACUGUGCACAUCUUGACGGUACCUAAUCACAAAGCCACGGCUAACUACGUG
This 496-nucleotide ribosomal RNA is filed under the name uncultured bacterium. Its description in RNAcentral is "partial 16S ribosomal RNA". It matches the Rfam family "Bacterial small subunit ribosomal RNA", at positions 28 to 507 of the family's 1533-position model. The record is from RNAcentral.